This 253-nucleotide ribosomal RNA is filed under the name uncultured bacterium. RNAcentral describes it as "partial 16S ribosomal RNA". It matches the Rfam family "Bacterial small subunit ribosomal RNA", at positions 524 to 776 of the family's 1533-position model. The record is from RNAcentral.
GACGAACCGUGCGAACGUUGUUCGGAAUCACUGGGCUUAAAGGGCGCGUAGGCGGGCUGUCAAGUCCGGGGUGAAAGCCCCCCGCUCAACGGGGGAAUGGCCUUGGAUACUGGCGGUCUGGAGGAAGGUAGGGGCAGAUGGAACUCUCGGUGGAGCGGUGAAAUGCGUAGAUAUCGGGAGGAACGCCGGUGGCGAAAGCGAUCUGCUGGACCUUUUCUGACGCUGAGGCGCGAAAGCCAGGGGAGCAAACGGG